GAGAUGGACUAGGCCGGGCGGUUUGGCUCCGCCCGACACCCGUGAGACAGUCAUCAGCGGGGGCCGAACACCGGGCGCGUCCGACCGCCGCGGUCGGGCCCCGGAAGCCAACGUGGAAGCCUCGUCCGUCGGGGACGGCGGUCCGCGGCGUGCGCCCGCAGGGGCGUUCCGUCGUGGUUCGACGGUGGCAACCCGCCAGGCACGGAAGUGAGCAGCGGACCACCGAACGCCCGUCGCUCGACGGGUCGCGGGGUGGAGAAGGCGACCGGGACUACCCGGCCGGGAACGCCGGGCUACCCCGACUGUCCACUC
This 312-nucleotide signal recognition particle RNA is filed under the name Halobacterium salinarum DSM 3754. Its description in RNAcentral is "Archaeal signal recognition particle RNA". It matches the Rfam family "Archaeal signal recognition particle RNA". The record is from RNAcentral. Lineage: Archaea; Methanobacteriati; Methanobacteriota; Halobacteria; Halobacteriales; Halobacteriaceae.